AAGAUUUCCUUCGAUUAAUUUACAGCUCAACACAUCAUUUGAUACAGUCUUAAUAUACCACAUAACCACGCAUUUGCUGCCCAUGCAAGAACAAUUUGGAUUAGGAUUUUUUUUUUUUCAUCAUCAUUAUUAGAAUUAUUGCUAUCAAUUGCAGACUUUGCAUUUACAAUAAAUAAAUACAUAAACAGAAAAUUACAACUGACAGGUUAUUAAUGGCUGGCGUGGUUAAUUCUUUUUCCAAAUGAAUGAAUUUUGUUCGAUAAUUGAAAAUAAAAAUCCUCUAUAGACUCAAGACAUUUUUCCACAAAAGAUAACACUUAUUCUGUAUGACAACCAAAUUUUAAACAUAUGUAAUUAUCGAGGAUUUUUUUAAAAUGAUUUUUGUGAGGUGUUGAAGGUUUGAGAGCUUUUCUUAAAGUUAAACCAGUCUGGAAUUGAGGGCUAAUUGUACAAUUACGAAUGUGCCUCUAAACAUGUUUAUUACAAAUUUAGAGCUAUGGAUAUUUUUCAAACGUUAAAUUAUCCUUCACAAAGUUUUAUCUUGUGGUUUCAUGCAUUUUUUUUUUCAAUGAAUCUCUUAUCUACACUUGGCCUUUAGCACAGUCAAGCUAAUAUCUUAAGGUAUGUUAAUGUUAGUGUUAACCUACAUUUGAGCUUUGUGUGAAUUGACACUUGAAGAUUUUAAAAAGCUCAUUUCGGCUGCCGUUUAUUAAAAGCAAAUCCACGAAUAACCCCCUUGAAGCUUCGGAAAACAACUGGACCUGGUCAUUUUCACAGCCACAGAUGUCAGAGUAGGUUCAUUUUUGUUUUAUCGCGGUGAAGGCCACGGUGCUGUUGUCGUUAAAGCCGAACAUCAAAGGCUUGUCAUUGCUACUGAAUACACUACACACCACUGUGAAAGGUUUUAGUCGCUAGUCUAAUUAAUUCGAUAGAAAAAAAUAUAUUAUAAACCUACGACGGACCGCCAAUUUUAAAAAGCGCACUUUUAUUUCUGGGAAUUCUCCAAUAGGCCUCGCAUCCGUUAUUACAUCCCGUGCAGUCUCAGCCAUCCGAUCGGACAAUAGCAGAAAAUAUAGGCUAAAUAUUUCGCACAUAACGCCAAUAAAAUGUAGACGAUAGCAAUCCAAUUACAGCCUUUUGAAACAACGAAUGUGGUGGUUUGAAUAAGGAGAUGUAUUUUUUUGCACUUAC
This is a long non-coding RNA of Lates calcarifer (barramundi perch), 1191 nucleotides long. RefSeq lists it as uncharacterized. Lineage: Eukaryota; Metazoa; Chordata; Actinopteri; Centropomidae. The record is from RefSeq and is a predicted model, not a curated record. The transcript is spliced from 2 exons.